Molecule: transfer RNA, 90 nt
Filed under: Hyphomicrobiales bacterium
Lineage: Bacteria; Pseudomonadati; Pseudomonadota; Alphaproteobacteria; Hyphomicrobiales
Description: tRNA-Ser
Rfam family: tRNA
About the family: Transfer RNA (tRNA) molecules are approximately 80 nucleotides in length. Their secondary structure includes four short double-helical elements and three loops (D, anti-codon, and T loops).
Source: RNAcentral
GGAGAGGUGGCCGAGUGGUCGAAGGCGCUCCCCUGCUAAGGGAGUAACGGUUUACGCCGUUCGUGGGUUCGAAUCCCACCCUCUCCGCCA